ACCCGUGUAGCUCAGUCGGUAGAGCACAGCGCUUGCAACGCUACGGUUGGGAGUUCGAUUCCUGCGGGGC
This 70-nucleotide transfer RNA is filed under the name Salmo salar (Atlantic salmon). It matches the Rfam family "tRNA". Rfam says of the family: Transfer RNA (tRNA) molecules are approximately 80 nucleotides in length. Their secondary structure includes four short double-helical elements and three loops (D, anti-codon, and T loops). Further hydrogen bonds mediate the characteristic L-shaped molecular structure. tRNAs have two regions of fundamental functional importance: the anti-codon, which is responsible for specific mRNA codon recognition, and the 3' end, to which the tRNAs corresponding amino acid is attached (by aminoacyl-tRNA synthetases). tRNAs cope with the degeneracy of the genetic code in two manners: having more than one tRNA (with a specific anti-codon) for a particular amino acid; and 'wobble' base-pairing, i.e. permitting non-standard base-pairing at the 3rd anti-codon position. RNAcentral also lists the same sequence under 1 other name. Lineage: Eukaryota; Metazoa; Chordata; Actinopteri; Salmoniformes; Salmonidae. The record is from Rfam by way of RNAcentral.